CAAAAUGUAGUUUAAUUAAAACUCUAAUUUUGGAAAUUAGUAAUACUAUUAUUUAGUUGUUUUGA
Molecule: transfer RNA, 65 nt
Filed under: Calyptogena pacifica
Lineage: Eukaryota; Metazoa; Mollusca; Bivalvia; Venerida; Vesicomyidae
Also listed under: 1 other name
Description: tRNA-Pro
Source: RNAcentral